RNAcentral lists this transfer RNA (70 nucleotides) under Arthrobacter sp. Bi26. Its description in RNAcentral is "tRNA-Gly". Lineage: Bacteria; Bacillati; Actinomycetota; Actinomycetes; Micrococcales; Micrococcaceae. The record is from RNAcentral.
GCCAGCCUGGUGCCUGGAGUGCGCACUGCUUGCCGAGCAGUGCGAGGAAGAUCUUUGCCUUUUGCUCGCC